GACCGCAGAGGCAGAGGGGUGGGUGGGCUGGCCCAUGGCUGAGACCUCUCUCCCAGAGCUGGGGGGAGAGGACAAAGCCACACCUUGCCCCAGCAUCCUGGAGCUGGAGGAGCUCCUGAGGGCGGGGAAGUCUUCUUGCAGCCGCGUGGACGAAGUUUGGCCCAACCUUUUCAUAGGAGAUGCGGCCACGGCAAACAACCGCUUUGAGCUGUGGAAGCUGGGCAUCACUCACGUGCUGAACGCCGCCCACGGGGGCCUCUACUGUCAGGGCGGCCCUGACUUCUACGGCAGCAGUGUGAGCUACCUGGGGGUGCCAGCCCACGACCUCCCUGAUUUUGACAUCAGUGCCUACUUCUCCUCUGCGGCUGACUUCAUCCACCGUGCCCUCAACACGCCUGGGGGAUGGACUCACUGCAGAAGCAGGACCUCCGGAGGCCCAAGAUCCAUGGGGCAGUCCGGGCAUCUCCCUACCAGCCGCCCACGUUGGCUUCGCUGCAGCGCUUGCUGUGGGUCCGUCAGGCUGGCACGCUGAACCAUAUCGACG
This 544-nucleotide small RNA is filed under the name Pongo abelii (Sumatran orangutan). RNAcentral's name for it is "processed transcript". The record is from RNAcentral. Lineage: Eukaryota; Metazoa; Chordata; Mammalia; Primates; Hominidae.